Molecule: long non-coding RNA, 693 nt
Organism: Gadus macrocephalus (Pacific cod)
Lineage: Eukaryota; Metazoa; Chordata; Actinopteri; Gadiformes; Gadidae
Exons: 2
Source: RefSeq, a predicted model, not a curated record
CUGGUUUCAGAUAAGUUAGUUUUUGGGCACUGGGCACUGGACAGGGCCUGAGAAAGAUAAGGUUUAUACCAGUUUUACCCGCCAUUACGGUAACGGGGUUGGAGAGGUGAAUGCAUAGGCGAAAUCAUAGCAUUAGAUGAGGACCCAUGUGAAUUUGAGUUAAAAUAAUUUAUGUUUACUAAGUAUUUUAAGUAAAAUGCAUGAAUGUACACUAUGAUAUAAGAUAUGGCGUCAAUUAGUUGCAUACAAAAUGAAUAUUGAUUCAGCGUUUGAGUCAUUCAUAAAGUAAAGUUUCCAAUUUUUCUCUAUUUAAAGUGAUACAUUUACAUUUAUUGGCUGUUAGUCUGACAAAGCAUUAGAAUUAAUCACUUUGCCCUCUCUUAGCUUGUUAUGGGCAUUUUACAAUUUCUAUGACAUUACUCGCACUAAAAGAUUAAUCAGGGCUUCAAAGAUUCAUCAACAUCAGAAACUGUUCGCUGCAGCCCUAAGCGUCCGUGCCAGUCCAACAGCCCGGCUCCACUCUGCUAAUUCUUGAAUUGGUCAUGAUAACAGAUGGAAAAUGUAUGAUCAACAACGAGUGUGGGAUUCCUAGUGUGUGUGUGUGUGUGUGUGUGUGUGUGUGUGUGUGUGUGUGUGUGUGUGUGUGUGUGUGUGUGUGUGUGUGUGUGUGUGUGUGUGUGUGUGAGAGAGAGA